AUUUGCUGAGGGCAUUUGCUCAGGACACUCCAGCUCCACUAGCCUUUUCCAGCUCCUCCAGCACUACGCUGACCUCCUUCCAACUCAUCCAACACAUCAAACUACUUCCUGCCUCAGAGCCUUCCCUCUGCUUGGACAUCUUUUUCUCCAUUUCUUGCUUGACCAACUUGUUUCUACUCAACUUCCAGAUUCCUGUUUUAAGGUUGGUUUUAAGAGCAGCCUUCUGAGAUCCUCCCAAGGUCAAGGGUUAGUCACCUGGUAAGAAGCUGCCAAUUGCAAAUAAGAGUGUGCACUUGCUGGAUGUCUUCUGUUUGCUCUCUUGACCCACCUUCUACCAUUCCCCACCUUCUUCUUUGCCUCCGGAAGGGAGCUUUCUGGACUGCACCAACAAGCUACUUUGUCCUCUGGCUUGUCCUCGGAUUCAGUCAGUGGGAGGUACCCACAAGGUGACUUAGAAGGCAGAAGAGGAAUGAGGUGUGGUGGCUCACGUCUGAAAUCCCAGCACUUUGGGAGGCCAAGGGGGUGG
This 526-nucleotide long non-coding RNA is filed under the name Homo sapiens (human). RNAcentral describes it as "non-protein coding lnc-COX6C-3:5". Lineage: Eukaryota; Metazoa; Chordata; Mammalia; Primates; Hominidae. The record is from RNAcentral.